GUCCAAGGAGUUUCAGGAGGAGGAGCCUAAAGUGCGGUGACACAACAGUCAAGAGCACUACUGAGACAGCGAAGGAACCGGUGAAUUCCUCAUCCUCCAGCAAACCACCAGUUAUGGUCUAUACAAACCCUCUGACAGAUUGUUUCACUGAGUUAACUUGCACAUGUCCAUAUAACCACAGUGCUUGGAGUGGAAAACAAUUGUAUUCAAGAGCCUGCUAGGCACUCUGGGUUGUCACAGCAGGCAGAGUGACCUCCUGAUCUCCAUUGUCGAAGGGUUUCGGGAAAACAAUGAAACAAUGCCCACAAAGAGAGAGUGUUAUUGCCAGUGUGCCGGGACGCCUUCAUCACCCUCAGAUGCACAUGCUGUCCCAGGCAAAACAUUGCACAAACAGAGACCUUUUUCCAAAUCAUCCAGGAAGGGAUGGCACAAGCCUUUGGCUUUGAGAAAAGACUAUUAAGCAGUAAAAACCAUAAUUCAAAAGGUACAGUUUUCAUAGACAUCAGAGGGGAACAUGGAGCCCUGGAAUGGAUACUCUGGGAUCACACAGACCUGGGCUGGACCUGAGGCUCAAUCCUGUGUUUUGUGUGUUUGACUAUGUUACUUUAACCAAAAGUAACAAUAGGAUUCAAUUAAAUGAAACCACAAACACAAUUUAGCACCUAUCAUAGAACCUGGUCUAGUAAAUGUGGCUGGCAAACCAAUAUGAUGGUUAUUCUCUUUUCAAUAAGUCAAAGUCCUGGAUCCAAAGGACUGGAUCAGUCAACACUUGUGUGUCUGCUGUGUUGUUGGAAAUGUGCUGAGGUUGAUGAGUUCCUCCCAGAACAUCCCUGACCUUCUUAAAAAUCUCUCCCUUGCAAGGCAUCACAGUGACAAAAUGACAAAAUGUCACUGUGUUAAAUACCAGGGAUAAAUACACUGUGACUUUACUGCUAGUGAAGCACCGGUUUGAUCACAGUACUGUAGGAUACAUAUGGCUCAUGUGUGUUUCUGCUUUCUCUCUCAGGUCCAGGAGGUAGUUUACCAGGUCCUUAGUGAUCGUCAGAAUAAAAUGCCUAUAUCAUUUAGAAAUUCUAGGAAGCGGAGUCACUAUUUAAAUAACUUAUUACCAUCUAUGUAGGAAGCUGAUAUUUUUAUACUUCCUAAAACCACAUAAUAGUACCUUCCCAGAAUACAAGGGGUUGGACUUGGAGAACUACAGAAUGUAGCUGAGAAUCUUUGUUUUGCUGGUUUGUGUAUCUUAAUUCCAGAGGAUACCUUCCUUCACUGUUUGGACCUGAUUUAACCCAUCCGGAGGAGAUGGGACCUGCCGGUCAUUGAGCAAACCCCUAGUCGGGUCAGCUGCACCACAUGUUAAUUGCCUGGAGGUGACAUUAUUCAAGAGGAAAUAAUCAGUCAGUGAUCCAAAGAGAAAGCCUGUACUAGUCAUCAUAGCCUACCUAUAUUCCAUUUUCUGAACACCUGCCCCAAGUGUGAAGAAACUUUCAUUUUUCCUUCAGUAUUGGCCUUUUAAUAUUCUGUAUAACAGAAUGAAACCCUUAUUUCACUGGCAGAAAGGGAAAUGAACAAUAAGCGAAAUCUGGUGAAAAUACAAUUUGAGCUGUAAUAAUAUGGUGAGUAAUUUUAGAAACCAAAGACUGUUUUUUUGCUUUUCCCAUCAUCAUCUGUGGCAUAUUAUUCAAAUGUUCCUAUUUCAUAAAUAUUUUGGAAACCAUGUGGGUUUGGGAAUUCCUGAAUUGUUGGGCCACUGACAUCAAAAUAUCCACUAAUAGUUACAGCAUUUUUCAUUUCUAAUUAUAAAA
Mustela lutreola (European mink) is the source of this 1802-nucleotide long non-coding RNA. RefSeq lists it as uncharacterized. The transcript has 3 exons. Lineage: Eukaryota; Metazoa; Chordata; Mammalia; Carnivora; Mustelidae. The record is from RefSeq and is a predicted model, not a curated record.